GCCUCGAUAGCUCAGUAGUUAGAGCACCUGCCAUGAGUUCAGGGUGUCGUGGGUUCGAUUCCCGCUCUGGGCA
Desmophyllum pertusum is the source of this 73-nucleotide non-coding RNA. The record is from the annotation of a GenBank genome assembly. Lineage: Eukaryota; Metazoa; Cnidaria; Anthozoa; Scleractinia; Caryophylliidae.